CAAAUACUCUCUCCGUCGAAAAAUACUUGUCUUACAAAUGGUUGUAUCUAGAUUUAUUUUAGUUAUAGAUAAGUCCCUUUUAUCAAUUUCUAGGACAAGUAUUUCCGGACAGAUGGAGUAUUCA
This is a non-coding RNA of Triticum urartu, 124 nucleotides long. NCBI's taxonomy places the organism in Eukaryota, Viridiplantae, Streptophyta, Magnoliopsida, Poales, Poaceae. The record is from Rfam.